CGUCUUACUCUGCAUAUAAAGUGUGUUUUCGAGGUUUUAUCAAACAAUUGCGCCGACAAAGUCGAUCUCCGACGACGAAGUUCGGGGAUGCGAGGGACGAUUUUCCGGGCUGGGCAGUCUCAAAUCGCAUGCUCUCACAUGCACACAAUUUGCGAGCACGUGAAAGAGGUGAUUACACACCUCGGCAAUCCGUAACUCGGGGUUUCGGCCAUGGCUUUGGACCCCAUGCAAGGUGCUGCAUUGUUCUGGGAACUGUGCGAGGUCGGGAUUCUUAUAUACUUGGCGAUUAGCGAGAGUGAUCACAGUUAUCGAUUAGCGAGUACAGGCUCCAGGAAACGUGCGUGAGUCCGCGGACUUGCUGGUCUUUGUUUUGUGAAGAAUGCAGCGUUUUGGGGGGUGUGCAUUGGUUACGGACACAGGAGCUCUUCGUGUUGCAGGAGACAAUUACCAUGAGGAUUUAAGUAUUUUAACGCACCGUUGGAUUCUUCUUCCAAGCUUUGAAUAUUGUUAAAAUGAUGCUUCAGUAGCAAUGGUGCCUGUGAUGUUGGCCAUCAUUUGAACGCCGCGUUUCUCUCUGAAGUCAAUUGGAGGUUCAAAAGUAUGGUGUAGCUUUAGAAUUUAAAGCUGAACUAUAAACUAGUUGCGUGAUUGCCAAAUCUCCGUUCUGCGGGGUCCAGGAUUGUGAGGAUGGCAACUGGGGCGAGUCAACCACUCGCCGUGCAACAUACAACUUCCUCUCGACGCCCAAGUUUUUAUCUCGAACCAACUUCACUACCUUGUUCACUAUUCGCAACACAGAUCAAAGGAGAAGAGAACGUUCAUGAUGUCAGAAGAUAGCACGCAUCUUUUCCACGAAAUUUCAAUUAAUAGCCUCUGCAUUCACAAGGCUUGAGACUUGGUCACUUAAGGUGUUCGGCCUCUUUGAAAGGAGAAGGAAGGUCUUCUUCUUCUUUUGGUAUCGGAAAUUGGCAUAUUUUCUCGGACUUGAAGUCAGCUGACAGAUAACCUCUGAGUCUAGUUGCUCGCAUUAUCACUAGACACACUACAUGCAGAUGGAUUGUGUCAUUCUGGAGUAGUGAAUCCUUCACGUUUUGUUGUCGGGAGGUUUGUCAGCUUACGAGUGAUUUGUGAUAACUUUCUGAGGUCAUGAAGGUUUUUAUGGGCACAAUGUGGGUGGUAAAUAGGCUAGGCUUUUGGUGCUUGUCGUGAUUCCUGGUUGAACGCAAGUGACAAUUCAGAUCGGCAUGGAUAUAUUCUUGGCCUUAGCCACUGUGUGCACGCUCUUAGCGAAUUUGGCAGGUAGGUCUUUUUGUUUCCAAGCGUUUAGAGAAAAGAUCUAAUGGGCGUUCUGUAGCUCAUCCUAGUGCGCUAGUAUCUGUUUUCUUCCCACGAUCUUUGGGGAAUGGAUUGAAAAUGCGACAGGACCAACAAGGUCGCAUGCCUGUGCUGUCGGGGCUCCUUUUCGUAACGCUUGCUUUAGGAACAGAUGGAGUACCUCCUGUGAUGUAAUUGCGUGGGCCUUUGGUAUUGGCAGCAGGUCUACCAGAACUUCCUGCUUCCAUAAGUUUCUAAAAAUAUGUCCUGAAGUUAAGUUCCUUUCAGCUGACUAGAGAGGAAUGUCACCGGCUGCUGUAGCUUCCUGUUUGUCCUUCACUGAGAGCGUCGCAGUAUUAGCAAUUUAUCGGGACCAGGUUGUCAGUGCCCUACUGCUAUGGAGAGGGUAGAGAUACAUAAACGCCGAAUUGAUAUCAGGUUCCGAUGGGAGCAAUCCUUUUAUCCACUUUGACAAAAUAGGUAUUGCGCACUUUGACAAAAUAGUAUUAGUAUUUGCUUUACAACUACAAAACUAGAGCAGAUUGCCGCAGCUUUUGGGUGGUAACGAUAACACUCGCACGCCUAGGUGUUCCUGUGGAGGAGCUGAUAUGAACACUUCUUCUGUCACUACGAUUCAUUGAUAUCGUGUUUUACAAGGCUUGGUUAUCCAAUUGAAGUUUAUUGGAUCGGGUGAUCUUGUCUGAUACUUUUUGCAGACAUAGAUAAGGCAUGAAGCGUUUCUCUUCGAUCUGUCCGAACCGCAUUAGGUGAUAAGUAUCAGUUUGGGUAUGUAGGUUCGAAAUCUUGCGGUUGGAGUUGUGGCCAAAAAUAGCGAUUGGAAGUCGUUGGGGCCGACAGAAACAGCAGACUGUAAUUUUUGUAUCCCUUGAAAGAUAAAGCCCAAUGUAUAUUUCUCAUUAGAAUGAUUUAACAAGUUCUAUUGAA
Physcomitrium patens is the source of this 2259-nucleotide non-coding RNA. Lineage: Eukaryota; Viridiplantae; Streptophyta; Bryopsida; Funariales; Funariaceae. The record is from RefSeq and is a predicted model, not a curated record.